Molecule: ribosomal RNA, 207 nt
Filed under: uncultured bacterium
Lineage: Bacteria
Description: partial 16S ribosomal RNA
Rfam family: Bacterial small subunit ribosomal RNA
Source: RNAcentral
CGCGUAGGCGGACUUUCAAGUCAGGGGUGAAAUCCCGAGGCUCAACCUCGGAACUGCCUUUGAUACUGUAAGUCUUGAGUCCGAGAGAGGUGAGUGGAAUUCCUAGUGUAGAGGUGAAAUUCGUAGAUAUUAGGAAGAACACCAGUGGCGAAGGCGGCUCACUGGCUCGGUACUGACGUUGAGGUGCGAAAGUGUGGGGAGCAAACA